UGGAGCUUGCACCGGCCGCUUGCAAGGAGAGUGAAGGUGUAUGCAUGCCCUUACGAUGGAUCUGUCCCUAGCGCAAUCCCCCAAUAUGGUUUUGGUCGGUCAUCGGCGGAGGCACAAGGUAGAUUGCGGUUCUGGUCGGUCAUGAGCGGUGCUACAAGGUAGAUCAAUUCCAUGGCCACCACAGAUUAUUGCAUGAUCUCCGGCUGUCAGCUCCCGAAUCAGGUACAUAUAAUUACUUAGUAGCGGAUGCAGCAAAUCUUUUUGCCCGAUCUGCCGUCAAUGAAGGAUUAGCAGGAAACGUGAUGAAGAUAAUCCCAAAUCAGGUAUAUAUAAUCCAUAUGCAUAAUUACUUAGCGGUGCAUGAAGAAAAUCGUCUUGCAUGAUCUGCCGUUAAUUGAGGAUUGGCAGGGAACAAGGGCAACAUAUUCUAGCGGCAGGGAUGGCUUGGAGGCGCUGACCUGCUACCGUGCUACGGCAUGAGACUCUCCUCCAGCACAUCCGAUCUUGCUGACCUGCUAGGGCAUGAGACUCUCCUCCAUCACGUCCGAUCUUUGUGAUCAAGUCCCGAACUGCUCCAAUAUCAGCACGUCUGUUGCAUGGUUUUUUGUUGCUGAAGAAUUUGCACGCAUAUGGUGCUUGAGAGAUUAGGUGCCAUGUAAACGCCUGGAAUCAGUACAGGGAUCCUACAUCAAAGAAAACAGCAACUGGGUCGAGGAACGGGCCAGCGAAGUAAGCGCGGACAUAGUUGAGGAAUGGGCAACGGACUAAUUAAGCGCGGACAUGUUGGGGGAACUGGCUAGCACAAGAAUUUUUGGAUGGGCACUUUAGGAGGCUAGGAGCAUCACCUUCAUGUUCGACAACAAGCUGCAGAAUGUUGCUGCAGUACAGUUGAGCGAAUUAAGGCCUCUGGCGUCGGCUGGGAAGAGUGAUCUAUUUGCCACCUAGAGAAUGGCAUGGGACCACAUCUUCUUAUUUUUACUUGGUCCAAGCCAGGUGCAUGAGUUGUGAAGCAGCUGGUCAUCCAAGGCAAUAUCUGGAAUAUACAUGCGAUACAUACAGCAAGUUACUCCAUCCAACCCAAUAUCUGGAAUAUACAUGCAAUACAUACGGCAAGUUCCUCCAUCUCUAAUUGUUUAAUCGUGUCUAUGUGGAAUUAGACAGCUACGGAUCUCCUAUAUUUUCCUCUCAAAAUUGCAUGGUAAUUUUCCAAUGAUAGUGGAGGGAUUGCAGUAUUCCUGCUGGCUAACAUGUACGUUAUGGCUUUAAAGCAGUGCAUUAUCUUAACAGAAUUUGGAAGAUCACAAUUACGUUUACAUAUGAAUGGUAUGGUUUCUAUAGGCAAACAGUGCAGAAAACAUAUUCAUUUGGUAGGUAUAUUCCGUUCCAAAAUUUGCAGUAUGCUUUUACUAACAUAUAUAACGUGCAUAUUGAUCUAUUGUUUCCGUGGUGCUCUUAAUUAGGUAAUAUCAUCUUUCAAAUUGGUGGCCCAGUUAGCUUUGCCAGAUAUCAUCCGCAAAAAAAAAAAAACUUUGGCAGAUAGCAUCAUGCAUAGCUACUGUAGUUUGCUGCUCUGCGACUAGCUGACAUGUCGUUCUAUCUCGUGUAGGUUUAAUUCCAAUAAAAAAACGUUUGUAAAUAUCCAUACUAAAAUUUCUAAUGAUUUUCUAAUUGGAAGGUCCUCUUGCUAAAAAAAGAGAAUGGUGUUGAUACCCGACAUGCCCUGUUUUGAUAUACCGCCUCAAAUUGAUCAUGAGCAAGUCUAUCAGCGGAUACAUGUCCACUGUGUCUUUGCUCUUCUGCAUGGUCCCCGCGAGAAGUUCGAUCAAUGUUCAUGACUAAGACUCGGGGAUCAGCGAUCCCCUAGACGUGCAUGCAAAGAUGAAGACAAUGGCUCCCCAUAAUGAUGCAAGUGCAAUGAGUCCACGUGCAACAACCUGAUUAGUAUCUUUUAUCAAGAGGAUACCAACCUUCAUACCCGGCGUGAGGCCAGACUUGCCGCAAGCACAUGUCUUUUAUAGGAGUUUAGAGAAUGUCAUCUAACGUAAAUUAUUUAUUUAGAAAUAGAUGUGCACUAUAUGCUUGAGCUAGGCUAUUAUCUGGUCGCUCGAUUUGACUUCUUUGCUUCCACAGAUAAUCGUCCUCACGCUUAAGA
This is a long non-coding RNA of Triticum aestivum (bread wheat), 2152 nucleotides long. RefSeq lists it as uncharacterized. NCBI's taxonomy places the organism in Eukaryota, Viridiplantae, Streptophyta, Magnoliopsida, Poales, Poaceae. The record is from RefSeq and is a predicted model, not a curated record. The transcript has 3 exons.